RNAcentral lists this long non-coding RNA (771 nucleotides) under Homo sapiens (human). RNAcentral describes it as "HSALNT0136413". The record is from RNAcentral. Lineage: Eukaryota; Metazoa; Chordata; Mammalia; Primates; Hominidae.
GCUCCUCGGGUGGAAGGGAGUGUGGAACAGUGCAGACAGUGUGCAGAGCAUGAGCAAGCCUGUUUCUGCAUGACUGAGUCUGUCUGUCUACACAUCAUCUACGAAGUGAAAGAACGUGCUUGGGAACGGUCAACACCUGAAGAAGGAGAGGGGACCUCAGGAGAGGAUCUUGGAGGAGGCACGCAUGAACUUCUGCCGUAUGUGUAAAAAUUUUCUUUCUUAAACUGGGUGGAGGGGCCUUUUUAUGCGUUGGAAACGCUUUUUUAGUGAAACUAAACUGAAGUACUUACGGAGUAGCUGAGCUGGGCGGACUGCGCAGGAGCCCAGGCACCAAUUGGCGUGAACUCUCCAGUUCUGGACCCACAUCCAGAGGUGUGUGAAGCCACCCCCCAGAGCCCAGCCAACGGUAAAUAGGACUGUGACCUGGGAAUCAGACCGUUCCCGAGCGCCCCCUGUGUGUGGUGUUCCUUGGGUGGUGGGGACCGCUGUGUUCAGCCCGUCCUUGGAAGAGGCGAGGGGUGCUGCCGUGGGAGGUAGAGAGAAGGGCAGGGGUGUGGUGCUCUUUUUUUCCAUUCCUACUUCAGCUAAACCAUUGCCACUUUUAUCCGUUUUGUGCCGCGAGCUCUUACCUACUCUUGUUGGUUGGCGGCUUUCGGGCAGGGAAACGGGCAAACGUGGACGCGCGCAGCUAAGGCAGGCGCGGUGGGCAGGGGGCUGGGCCGGGCAGGGACUGUGCCGCCCCCGCUUCUGGGUGGGAGCGGCCUGUCUCCU